UGCAGGACACAUGAACAUCGACAUUUCGAACGCACAUUGCGGUCCACGGAUACAAUUCCCGGACCACGCCUGGCUGAGGGUCG
RNAcentral lists this ribosomal RNA (83 nucleotides) under Ophion sp. MS11405. RNAcentral describes it as "partial 5.8S ribosomal RNA". It matches the Rfam family "5.8S ribosomal RNA", at positions 73 to 154 of the family's 154-position model. Rfam says of the family: 5.8S ribosomal RNA (5.8S rRNA) is a component of the large subunit of the eukaryotic ribosome. It is transcribed by RNA polymerase I as part of the 45S precursor that also contains 18S and 28S rRNA. Functionally, it is thought that 5.8S rRNA may be involved in ribosome translocation. The record is from RNAcentral. Lineage: Eukaryota; Metazoa; Arthropoda; Insecta; Hymenoptera; Ichneumonidae.